CCGCCCCUUAGUGCUGCAGAAUAACGCAUNAAUCACUUCGCCUGGGGAGUACGGUCGCAAGACUGAAACUCAAAGGAAUUGNCGGGGGACAGCACAAGCGGUGGAGCAUGUGGUUUAAUUNGAAGCAACGCGAAGAACCUUACCAGGUCUUGACAUCCUCUGACAAUCCUAGAGAUAGGACGUCCCCUUCGGGGGCAGAGUGACAGGUGGUGCAUGGUUGUCGUCAGCUCGUGUCGUGAGAUGUUGGGUUAAGUCCCGCAACGAGCGCAACCCUUGAUCUUAGUUGCCAGCAUUCAGUUGGGCACUCUAAGGUGACUGCCGGUGACAAACCGGAGGAAGGUGGGGAUGACGUCAAAUCAUCAUGCCCCUUAUGACCUGGGCUACACACGUGCUACAAUGGGCAGAACAAAGGGCAGCGAAACCGCGAGGUUAAGCCAAUCCCACAAAUCUGUUCUCAGUUCGGAUCGCAGUCUGCAACUCGACUGCGUGAAGCUGGAAUCGCUAGUNAUCGCGGAUCAGCAUGCCGCGGUGAAUACGUUCCCGNGCNGNUGUACACACCGCCCGU
RNAcentral lists this ribosomal RNA (565 nucleotides) under Bacillus subtilis. RNAcentral describes it as "bacterial SSU rRNA". It matches the Rfam family "Bacterial small subunit ribosomal RNA", at positions 833 to 1397 of the family's 1533-position model. The record is from RNAcentral. Lineage: Bacteria; Bacillati; Bacillota; Bacilli; Caryophanales; Bacillaceae.